GCAGUCGUGGCCUAGUGAUUAAGGCGAUGGACUAGAAAUCCAUUAGGGUCUCCCCGCAUAUGUUCAAACCUGUCGACUACG
This 81-nucleotide transfer RNA is filed under the name Ixodes scapularis (black-legged tick). It matches the Rfam family "tRNA". From Rfam's summary of the family: Transfer RNA (tRNA) molecules are approximately 80 nucleotides in length. Their secondary structure includes four short double-helical elements and three loops (D, anti-codon, and T loops). Further hydrogen bonds mediate the characteristic L-shaped molecular structure. tRNAs have two regions of fundamental functional importance: the anti-codon, which is responsible for specific mRNA codon recognition, and the 3' end, to which the tRNAs corresponding amino acid is attached (by aminoacyl-tRNA synthetases). tRNAs cope with the degeneracy of the genetic code in two manners: having more than one tRNA (with a specific anti-codon) for a particular amino acid; and 'wobble' base-pairing, i.e. permitting non-standard base-pairing at the 3rd anti-codon position. Lineage: Eukaryota; Metazoa; Arthropoda; Arachnida; Ixodida; Ixodidae. The record is from Rfam by way of RNAcentral.